Molecule: long non-coding RNA, 1344 nt
Organism: Triticum dicoccoides
Lineage: Eukaryota; Viridiplantae; Streptophyta; Magnoliopsida; Poales; Poaceae
Exons: 4
Source: RefSeq, a predicted model, not a curated record
CUUGCAGAGUCUAGUACAGUUGCAGUUGCGGCAGCAAUCGCGAAUCCAAUCUGCCACAUGCCCACAUGCAGCUUGCGAUCAUGAGGAGUGAGUGGAUUCCUGCGUUCGACCUGCUCGCUCUCAUGGCGUAAUUUACUGCCUGAAUCAAGGUCGGAGUUCCUUGCCAUAUCGCAGCGCCAAGUCCGCCGGUGCUGAUGCACUAUUUUGGGGACAGCGGCGGCCGGACUGCGAGAAGCCGCAGGAGGUGACUGAAGCAGGCCGAGCUCCGCUCAAAGAGCGCGCCGAUGAUGUUUGAAGAAAUGGCCCCGUCGACGAAAUGCCCCCGUGCGGAUGCAGGACUGGUGCUCGACGAAAUGCCUGCAAGAAACCGGCAAAUCCUGAGAACGGCCAUCUCGUGUCCUUUUCUCCUGCCCAGCUCGCCAGGCGCUGCAGCUGGGGCGAUGCUUUCUCUGAAGUUCUCUGCAAUGGCCGGACGUAAUUCCAGGCUGGACGACACCUGCGCACUGUAUGGGACCCGAGUGGCUGCCACGUUUUUACAUCCUUGGGCCUCCAUUAGACGACAACCAUGGCAAAAGAAGAGAAGUUCACAACUGGUCUCCAUGAACACGCAGCCAUGCUUCCUCGGUUCCUCCGCCAUUUGAAGGGAAAUCAUGCUGUGCCUUCGGUGGGAUGAAAUUGAAGUGAAAAAGACAACGCGUAAGGCAUGACUCCGCGUCGUGGAGCUCCACUCGGGAUGGUUUCUCACAUGCUGGCCCUUGUUGUGACCAGAAGUGGAUGAUAUAAAAUGUGAAGUCUCUUGUCUUGGGGUCACGUAAACUAAGCGAUUUCAAGUUCAGACGGCCGGAUUAUGCAUGUGGGGGUUAGACAACGCUCUCGAGUAUUGACUAUUCCCCAUGAGUUAUGUGCAACUCCUGGAUGAUGCGCGUAUUAAGAUUCUUUGACCAAGAUUAGGAUUGCCACCAGCAGCAGCCUCAACCACCAUUCAUCUUGCUGGCACCUGCAGGGGAGGAGCUGGCUACGGCGCAUUGUAAGCCCAUUCAAAACAAGUGAAUCCUUCACUAGAUUAGUGUUUGCUAUUGUUUAUUUAUGGUGGAUGAAACAUGACCCAGCUGUCAUCUGACCUAGCUUAGUGCCUGAGCACUUGCUUAAUUACUUGCCAGACAUAGUUUUCCGUGCAUGUGUUUGUUGGUAAGAGGCUGAACUUGGGUCUCAAAGAUUCUGAUGAGCCUAUUCGAUCAUCAGCAUUGUGUACCGACUGCUUGGAGGGCGAGAGGGAGAUGCUACGGCAGUGGGCUCUACAUGCAUGACAUAAAUCACUCCUUGCCAAGGAUUUGGUUAUCGGGA